Molecule: ribosomal RNA, 535 nt
Filed under: uncultured Acidobacteriota bacterium
Lineage: Bacteria; Pseudomonadati; Acidobacteriota
Description: bacterial SSU rRNA
Rfam family: Bacterial small subunit ribosomal RNA
Source: RNAcentral
UUGAUCCUGGCUCAGAAUCAACGCUGGCGGCGUGCCUAACACAUGCAAGUCGAACGCGAAAAGGGCUUCGGCUCUUAGUAGAGUGGCGAACGGGUGAGUUACACGUGGGUGACCUACCUUCGAAUGGGGGAUAACGUCCCGAAAGGGACUCUAAUACCGCAUAACAUCCUGCUUUUGAACAGGUGGAGAUCAAAGCCGGUGAUCGCAAGACCUGGCGUUUGAAGAGGGGCCCGCGUCUGAUUAGCUAGUUGGUGAGGUAACGGCCCACCAAGGCGACGAUCAGUAUCCGGCCUGAGAGGUCGGACGGACACACUGGGACUGAGACACGGCCCAGACUCCUACGGGAGGCUGCAGUGGGGAAUUGUUCGCAAUGGGCGCAAGCCUGACGACGCAACGCCGUGUGGAGGAUGAAGGUCUUCGGAUUGUAAACUCCUGUUGCUCGGGACGAAUAGCUUCGACCUAACACGUCGAAGUCUGACGGUACCGGGUGAGGAAGCCCUGGCUAACCCUGUGCCAGCAGCCGCGGUAAUAAGGU